AUUAGCAGCUAGCUUUCUGCAACUCUCACAUGGUCGCUCACUGAAGCUAAGCAGGGCUGUGUCCGGUCACUACCUGGAUGGGAGACCACACAAGAAAGCUAGGUUGCUGCCAGAA
Molecule: ribosomal RNA, 115 nt
Filed under: Danio rerio (zebrafish)
Lineage: Eukaryota; Metazoa; Chordata; Actinopteri; Cypriniformes; Danionidae
Source: RNAcentral